UUUGAUGGCGACCGGCGCACGGGUGAGUAACACGUAUCCAACCUGCCGAUGACUCGGGGAUAGCCUUUCGAAAGAAAGAUUAAUACCCGAUGGCAUAGUUCUUCCGCAUGGUAGAACUAUUAAAGAAUUUCGGUCAUCGAUGGGGAUGCGUUCCAUUAGGUUGUUGGCGGGGUAACGGCCCACCAAACCUUCGAUGGAUAGGGGUUCUGAGAGGAAGGUCCCCCACAUUGGAACUGAGACACGGUCCAA
This 249-nucleotide ribosomal RNA is filed under the name uncultured bacterium. RNAcentral describes it as "partial 16S ribosomal RNA". It matches the Rfam family "Bacterial small subunit ribosomal RNA", at positions 84 to 334 of the family's 1533-position model. The record is from RNAcentral.